CCCCCCCUACGGGAGGCAGCAGUAGGGAAUCUUCCACAAUGGACGAAAGUCUGAUGGAGCAACGCCGCGUGAGUGAAGAAGGGCUUCGGCUCGUAAAGCUCUGUUGGUAGUGAAGAAAGAUAGAGGUAGUAACUGGCCUUUAUUUGACGGUAACUACUUAGAAAGUCACGGCUAACUACGUGCCAGCAGCCGCAGUAAUACGUAGGUGGCAAGCGUUGUCCGGAUUUAUUGGGCGUAAAGCGAGUGCAGGCGGGUCAAUAAGUCU
Molecule: ribosomal RNA, 265 nt
Filed under: uncultured bacterium
Lineage: Bacteria
Description: partial 16S ribosomal RNA
Rfam family: Bacterial small subunit ribosomal RNA
Source: RNAcentral